UUUAUAAAUGUAGCAUUUUUGCUUAAAAACGCUUAAAUUCAGAGAAAAAACAAAGACCAUGAUCCCAUGCAGAGCCCACUGGCGACAGAUAUAGUCAGCUUCUCCCCUUGUAAGCUGCGUGCCUGCAACGUGAAGCCUUUAUUUCUCCACCCUCCUUAAACAGAGCCCUACAAACUCCAUUAUAGUGCUACGUUUGUCUUUGUUCUUAGGUUCCUCUCCCCAGCUCAGAGUGCGACUAUGCGCUCAGAGCUGGGAGAAUGGUCCAUUCAAAUCCUUGC
Molecule: non-coding RNA, 278 nt
Organism: Pelobates cultripes (western spadefoot toad)
Lineage: Eukaryota; Metazoa; Chordata; Amphibia; Anura; Pelobatidae
Source: the annotation of a GenBank genome assembly